UACGUAGGGGGCAAGCGUUGUUCGGAUUUAUUGGGCGUAAAGAGCGUGUAGGCGGCCUGAAAGGUCAGCUGUGAAAACUCGAGGCUCAACCUCGAGACGUCGGUUGAAACCAUCUGGCUAGAGUCCGGAAGAGGAGUGUGGAAUUCCCGGUGUAGCGGUGAAAUGCGCAGAUAUCGGGAAGAACACCCGUGGCGAAGGCGGCACUCUGGGACGGUACUGACGCUGAGACGCGAAAGCGUGGGGAGCGAACAGG
This 253-nucleotide ribosomal RNA is filed under the name uncultured bacterium. RNAcentral describes it as "partial 16S ribosomal RNA". It matches the Rfam family "Bacterial small subunit ribosomal RNA", at positions 524 to 776 of the family's 1533-position model. The record is from RNAcentral.